AUUUGAAAUCUGGCUUCGGCCCGAGUUGUAAUUUGUAGAGGAUGCUUAGGGUGUGGUUCCGGUCUAAGUUCCUUGGAACAGGACGUCAUAGAGGGUGAGAAUCCCGUAUGUGACCGGUUACCUUCGCCCGUGUUAAGCUCCUUCGACGAGUCGAGUUGUUUGGGAAUGCAGCUCUAAAUGGGUGGUAAAUUUCAUCUAAAGCUAAAUACUGGCCAGAGACCGAUAGCGCACAAGUAGAGUGAUCGAAAGAUGAAAAGCACUUUGGAAAGAGAGUUAAAUAGUACGUGAAAUUGUUGAAAGGGAAGCGCUUGCAACCAGACUUGCAUGCAGUUGAUCAUCCGGUGUUCUCACCGGUGCACUCGAUUGCGUUCAGGCCAGCAUCAGUUCUGGUGGUUGGAUAAAGGCCCAGGGAAUGUGGCUCUCUCUCGGGGAGUGUUAUAGCCCUGGGUGCAAUGCAGCCUACCGGGACUGAG
RNAcentral lists this ribosomal RNA (473 nucleotides) under Marthamyces renga. Its description in RNAcentral is "partial large subunit ribosomal RNA". It matches the Rfam family "Eukaryotic large subunit ribosomal RNA", at positions 113 to 594 of the family's 3401-position model. The record is from RNAcentral. Lineage: Eukaryota; Fungi; Ascomycota; Leotiomycetes; Marthamycetales; Marthamycetaceae.